GUGUAACCUCAUACCACUAGCCUGAGGCUGAAUUCAGUACCGUAACAAUAGCAAUCACAUCCUGACUGAAACAAACAGAAGGAUCCACGCUGCUUGAUUCAGUAUAAUAUCAAAUUGGCACCACAAGUUGGUUCAGGAUUUAGCUACCAGUAAACAUCACGUGGAUGGAGCCACAUGGGAGAUGGGGCACAAAUCUGACUACAUCACCUCGGGGAAACCUCACAACUAACAACACUGCUCGUGCCAUAAUAUAUUCAUUCCCACGCAAAUUCAUGCAAGCCUACAUACAAAUCGGCAAAAAUAAGGCAUGCAUCCAGGUGAACGAGGAAUAUUAGGAAACGGAAAAGAUUAACCUGCCAUGGCAAUCAUUUAAAACAGAACCGCGCCGCAAUACUUGCAUGUCUGGAAGAUUGACCACACUGAUACCAACAAGUAAAAGCAAUAUUAGAAAUCAUUCAAAACAUAACAAAAAUGACAUCGCUUCAUAUAGCUCAAGUAAGCUACCAAGACAAUGUUGUGGUCCUUCACAGAGAAAACGCAGAAGCUUUGCGACUUGAUGCAUUGAUAGAAGUACGCACAACCCUCUGAGUAAGCGCCCCCAUGAACAUGACUACAAAAAAAAAUGCACCCAUUGUGCUGUCAAAAAUGAAGAAAAAUCAUGAGGCCGGAACGAAAAGACGCAAAUCAGAACUCAAACUCGAAGCACUCACAUCCUUGUUGUUUGUGAACUGGAUAGGUCAAGGUUGGCCACAGCUUUACUGGUCAAGGCCCACUGCCUAACCGAACCCUAGCUCAGAGGAGUAAAAUGUGUGCUAGAGCGUCCUGGAAGGGUGAAACGGAGUAGGGGCAUUUGCUGCUAUAUCCUGUAAAAACAAGGGGUGACUACAAGCAUGGUGGCAAGUGGCAAUAGAAGGAGAUUGUGAGGGUUGGCAGAGCCAAGUCCUAGAUCAUUGAGUUCUCGUUGGUUUAAGUUUCAUGCAGCACAUGUGGGUGGAGAUUGUUAGGGAGGAGGGUGGAGCAAGGAAGGUUUUGAGAGUUCACGCUUAAUAAAUCUUGAUAUCGCUUGUACAUUUUUAAUGGAGUGGACCAUGACAUGGUUUCCAACAUUCCAUGUUUCCACUGAAUGUGGUUUCAAUGUGAUAAUCUUAAGAGGAAAAAAACAACAUCAUAGAACCUAUUUUUAAGUACUCAGAGGACCAUAAUAUCAGAGUGCAACAUUUGGCUACCGUACAACAUUUACAUCUACUAAGAGCAAUAAAAUAUGAUAUUGAGAUAAAGAAACAAUUCAUCUGAACGUAAUAAGCAAAUAAUUGUACCUGCCACUUUUCUCUGUCUUCUAUAAAGAGCUCCAUGGAGAGUAACCCCAACGCCUCGUGCUAUAUGCACUCUACCUAUUGUAGAUAGAGAAGAAUACACAUAGCAACCCCAGCACCUCGGUAAUCAAAUUUUAUCUGAACCAGAUAACAAGAAUCCUGCCAGCACAAAUGAUUUAGGAUACUCCUUUUGAAAUUGCAACAGCAUGCUAUCAUAGGAAAAUUAUUUAAAAUACCAAUACCUUCAAAGAAGAUAUAAAAGAUGAAAAAUAUAUUGAUUUCAGAACUUCAUGGUCAUCUGAGUCCUAUUAAGAGUCAUGUGUCUACUACACAAAUUACCGAAAAGACACGGACACCCGGC
RNAcentral lists this long non-coding RNA (1674 nucleotides) under Triticum aestivum (bread wheat). RNAcentral describes it as "long non-coding RNA (TAES_LNC018112)". Lineage: Eukaryota; Viridiplantae; Streptophyta; Magnoliopsida; Poales; Poaceae. The record is from RNAcentral.